RNAcentral lists this ribosomal RNA (253 nucleotides) under uncultured bacterium. RNAcentral describes it as "partial 16S ribosomal RNA". It matches the Rfam family "Bacterial small subunit ribosomal RNA", at positions 524 to 776 of the family's 1533-position model. The record is from RNAcentral.
UACGGGAGUGGCAAGCGUUAUCCGGAAUUAUUGGGCGUAAAGCGUCCGCAGGCGGUCUGUCAAGUCUGCUGUUAAAGCGUGGAGCUUAACUCCAUUUCGGCAGUGGAAACUGACAGACUAGAGUGUGGUAGGGGCAGAGGGAAUUCCCGGUGUAGCGGUGAAAUGCGUAGAUAUCGGGAAGAACACCAGUGGCGAAGGCGCUCUGCUGGGCCAUAACUGACGCUCAUGGACGAAAGCGUGGGGAGCGAACAGG